RNAcentral lists this ribosomal RNA (460 nucleotides) under uncultured bacterium. RNAcentral's name for it is "partial 16S ribosomal RNA". It matches the Rfam family "Bacterial small subunit ribosomal RNA", at positions 338 to 795 of the family's 1533-position model. The record is from RNAcentral.
CCUACGGGUGGCAGCAGUGAGGAAUAUUGGUCAAUGGCCGGAAGGCUGAACCAGCCAAGCCGCGUGAAGGACGAAGGUGCCAAGCAUUGUAAACUUCUUUUGUCAAGGGACAAAAUCAGGCUCGAGAGCCUGACCGAGGGUACUUGAAGAAAAAGCAUCGGCUACCUCCGUGCCAGAAGCCACGGUAAUACGGAGGAUGCAGGCGUUAUCCGGAUUUAUUGGGUUUAAGGGGUGCGUAGGCGGACUGUUAAGUCAGCGGUAAAAGCCCGGGGCUCAACUUCGGAAUUGCCUCUGAUACUGUUCGGCUAGAGAGUAGUUGCGGUAGGCGGAAUGUAUGGUGUAGCGGUGAAAUGCUUAGAGAUCAUACAGAACACCGAUUGCGAAGGCAGCUUACCAAGCUACUUCUGACGUUGAGGCACGAAAGCGUGGGGAGCAAACAGGAUUAGAUACCCGGGUAGUC